This 118-nucleotide ribosomal RNA is filed under the name Pteropus alecto (black flying fox). The record is from RNAcentral. Lineage: Eukaryota; Metazoa; Chordata; Mammalia; Chiroptera; Pteropodidae.
GUCUAUGGCCAUGCUAUCUUGAACUAGCCAGAUCCGUCUGAUCUCGGAAGCUAAGCAGGGUCGGGCCUGGUUAGUACUUGGGUGAGAGAUCACCUAGGAAGACCAGGUGCUGUAGGCA